GACGAACGCUGGCGGCGUGCCUAAUACAUGCAAGUUGAGCGCUGAAGGUUGGUACUUGUACCAACUGGAUGAGCAGCGAACGGGUGAGUAACGCGUGGGGAAUCUGCCUUUGAGUGGGGGACAACAUUUGGAAACGAAUGCUAAUACCGCAUAAAAACUUUAAACACAAGUUUUAAGUUUGAAAGAUGCAAUUGCAUCACUCAAAGAUGAUCCCGCGUUGUAUUAGCUAGUUGGUGAGGUAAAGGCUCACCAAGGCGAUGAUACAUAGCCGACCUGAGAGGGUGAUCGGCCACAUUGGGACUGAGACACGGCCCAAACGCCUACGGGAGGCAGCAGUAGGGAAUCUUCGGCAAUGGACGAAAGUCUGACCGAGCAACGCCGCGUGAGUGAAGAAGGUUUUCGGAUCGUAAAACUCUGUUGGUAGAGAAGAACGUUGGUGAGAGUGGAAAGCUCAUCAAGUGACGGUAACUACCCAGAAAGGGACGGCUAACUACGUG
RNAcentral lists this ribosomal RNA (497 nucleotides) under uncultured bacterium. RNAcentral's name for it is "partial 16S ribosomal RNA". It matches the Rfam family "Bacterial small subunit ribosomal RNA", at positions 28 to 507 of the family's 1533-position model. The record is from RNAcentral.